Molecule: long non-coding RNA, 346 nt
Organism: Suricata suricatta (meerkat)
Lineage: Eukaryota; Metazoa; Chordata; Mammalia; Carnivora; Herpestidae
Exons: 2
Source: RefSeq, a predicted model, not a curated record
GUUCUCAUACGUGUUGCCUUGUGCCCUAGGGCGCGUGCUCCUUGGGACCGCCGGUGCUUCCAGGUGGCUGUAUCUGGCAUUGACCUUUUAUGGUUACUCUUUGAGUUCACGGGCCCCUUCGAGACUCUGAAGAAAGCCAGACAGCGGCCUGUGGCUCUCGAGCACCUGAAAUGUGGCCCAAAUUGAGAACUCCUUUGAGUGUCGAACUGACCUUGGAUUUCAAAGACUUAGCACCAAAAAGAGAAUGCCCGAACCUGCUCCCUCGGAUAAGGAGAAUCAACUGUAUCCAGUAACCCCAGUAACAAAGAUACGCUGUAUUGAAUGAAAUAAACAUCAAGAUCAUUUU